RNAcentral lists this ribosomal RNA (433 nucleotides) under uncultured bacterium. RNAcentral's name for it is "partial 16S ribosomal RNA". It matches the Rfam family "Bacterial small subunit ribosomal RNA", at positions 29 to 507 of the family's 1533-position model. The record is from RNAcentral.
AACGAACGCUGGCGGCAUGCCUAACACAUGCAAGUCGAACGAGACCUCCGGGCCUUGUGGCGCACGUGUGCGUAACGCGGGGGAACCUGCCCUUAGGUACGGAAUAACUCCCCGAGAGGGGUGCUAAGACCGGUUAAUGUCUUCGGACCAAAGAUUUAUCGCCUUUGGAUGGGCGCGCGUUGGUUUAGCUAGUUGGUAGGGGACAAGCAUACCAAGGACACGAUCCAGAGCUGGUCUGAGAGGAGGAUCAGCCCCACUGGGACUGCGGCACGGACCAGAAUCGGACGGGAGGGAGGAGUAGGGAAUAUAGGAGGAGGGGCGAAGGUGUGAUCAAGCAGUGCCGGGGGAGUGAUGAAGGGCGUAGGGUUGUAAAGCUCUCUUACCCGGGAUGAUAGUGACAGUACCGGGAGAAUAAGCACCGGCUAACUCCGUG